Toxorhynchites rutilus septentrionalis is the source of this 290-nucleotide long non-coding RNA. RefSeq lists it as uncharacterized. The transcript is spliced from 3 exons. The record is from RefSeq and is a predicted model, not a curated record. Lineage: Eukaryota; Metazoa; Arthropoda; Insecta; Diptera; Culicidae.
GUUGGGAAAGUACAUCGUUUUUUGGCGCACACAGUUUCAGUUUCUUUUUAAUAAAUGAAGUGCUGUUUGCCGAUUUGGGGAACCGCGGGUAAUACGGACAGUGGAGAUAAUAUGGACAGUUUCGAACACACCCCGUAAAAAGCCAUUUUUUAAAAUACAUUCUGUUGGUAUUGUAUCUAGAAUUUACAAGUUAAACACGGAACCACCCUAGCGGACCCAACCGCUAUCGGAACCACUCCAACAUCACCCAGGGAGUCUAACGGCGGAACAGCAUGGUCAGCGAUAUCGGA